RNAcentral lists this non-coding RNA (239 nucleotides) under Burkholderiales bacterium. The record is from RNAcentral. Lineage: Bacteria; Pseudomonadati; Pseudomonadota; Betaproteobacteria; Burkholderiales.
CGUAAAAUCCUCGUUGUUGGUGCUCGCGGUGUGGUUCACAUGCCGCAGUUCAACGGGAAGCAGGGAGGUCGCCGUCAGCCAUGACGGCACCGAGCCUGCGCUGCCCCCGCAACGGUCAGCGGACGAAUCACCCGAUUCUCUCUUCAACACUCAGCCACUGGGCGCCUUGAACAAGCGCCUGGGAAGGCGUUGGAGGGCGUUCCGCCAGCCCGGAUACCGGCCAACACGGUGGCCGUGCG